AUUGAACGCUGGCGGCAUGCUUUACACAUGCAAGUCGAACGGCAGCACAGCAGAGGUAACUCUGUGGGUGGCGAGUGGCGAACGGGUGAGUAAUACAUCGGAACGUACCCUGUUGUGGGGGAUAACUACGCGAAAGCGUAGCUAACACCGCAUACGCCCUGAGGGGAAAGCGGGGGGACCCUAAAUAGAGCGCACUGGGGAGUGCGUUGUAUUUAGGGCCUCGCGCAAUAGGAGCGGCCGAUGUCGGAUUAGCUAGUUGGUGAGGUAAAGGCUUACCAAGGCGACGAUCCGUAGCUGGUCUGAGAGGAUGAUCAGCCACACUGGGACUGAGACACGGCCCAGACUCCUACGGGAGGCAGCAGUGGGGAAUUUUGGACAAAUGGGGGGCGAACCCCUGAUCCAGCCAUGCCGCGUGAGUGAAGAAGGCCUCGUGUAG
RNAcentral lists this ribosomal RNA (436 nucleotides) under uncultured bacterium. Its description in RNAcentral is "bacterial SSU rRNA". It matches the Rfam family "Bacterial small subunit ribosomal RNA", at positions 29 to 422 of the family's 1533-position model. The record is from RNAcentral.